RNAcentral lists this ribosomal RNA (254 nucleotides) under uncultured bacterium. RNAcentral describes it as "partial 16S ribosomal RNA". It matches the Rfam family "Bacterial small subunit ribosomal RNA", at positions 524 to 776 of the family's 1533-position model. The record is from RNAcentral.
UACGAAGGGGGCUAGUGUUGCUCGGAAUCACUGGGCGUAAAGGGCGCGUAGGCGGCGUUUUAAGUCGGGGGUGAAAGCCUGUGGCUCAACCACAGAAUGGCCUUCGAUACUGGGACGCUUGAGUAUGGUAGAGGUUGGUGGAACUGCGAGUGUAGAGGUGAAAUUCGUAGAUAUUCGCAAGAACACCGGUGGCGAAGGCGGCCAACUGGACCAUUACUGACGCUGAGGCGCGGAAAGCGUGGGGAGCAAACAGG